UUUCACAUUUUUGCUGCUAGAUGGCUUCGGCUACGUAACGUAGCUGUUAAAUAAAAAACAACAUGGCGGACGCAACCGCAUAUUUAGUUUUACGCGAGUUCGGGACCAAUCUAACCUAAUCGGUUAUAUACAAUUUUGCUUACAAGUGAUUCAAGUGAUUACAAGUGAUUUAAAAUGGUGCAAAUGUGUUGUACUGUGUAUCAAAAGUUGUAAAGACAAAUACCGGACUGCUACAAAUGCAUCUUCUUAACGAUUUCCUAAAAAUCCAGAUUCGAGGAAGCAGCGGAUACAAAGAAUAAUGGUAGAACAUUCGACUCGUGCAUGUGUCUGUUUGAAACGUUUCGCUUAUUAAUGACCGAGUAUUCAAAUGUAAUGCUGUAACACAUGCCGAACGAAACGUUGUAUCCAAACAUAGCACAUGCAAGGAUUAAAUGUAGACAGUGUUUCAGCGAUUGUACCAGAAAAUUAAGCUUUAAGCUUAGAAACUGAAAAGAUGUCUUCGAUAAGGAUGCGGAAAGCAUAUGUUGGCGAUUUCCAGAAUUUGGAUAUACCAAGUGAUCGUGAUAAUUAUACAGACGUUGUUAAUGCAACAAUUGUUAAGAAAAAUAAAAGAAUAUAAAUAUUA
Long non-coding RNA from Megalopta genalis, 625 nucleotides. RefSeq lists it as uncharacterized. NCBI's taxonomy places the organism in Eukaryota, Metazoa, Arthropoda, Insecta, Hymenoptera, Halictidae. The record is from RefSeq and is a predicted model, not a curated record.